CAUGCAAGUCGAGGGGCAGCGCGAGGUAGCAAUACUUUGGCGGCGACCGGCGCACGGGUGCGUAACACGUAUGUAACUUACCUCUUACAAUCGGAUAACACGGUGAAAGUCGUGCUAAUACGGUAUAGUUUCGCAAGCUCGCAUGGGCAUGCGAAUAAAGAUUCAUCGGUAGGAGAUAGACAUGCGGUCCAUUAGAUAGUUGGUGAGGUAACGGCUCACCAAGUCGACGAUGGAUAGGGGGACUGAGAGGUUGACCCCCCACACUGGUACUGAGACACGGACCAGACUCCUACGGGAGGCAGCAGUGAGGAAUAUUGGUCAAUGGGCGAGAGCCUGAACCAGCCAAGUCGCGUGAAGGAAGACGGUUCAUAAGGAUUGUAAACUUCUUUUGCAGAGGUGUAACGGUAGGCACGUGUGCCUGUGUGAACGUACUCUGCGAAUAAGUAUCGGCUAACUCCGUGCCAGCAGCCGCGGUAAUACGGAGGAUACGAGCGUUAUCCGGAAUUAUUGGGUUUAAAGGGUGCGUAGGUGGCUAUUUAAGUCAGGGGUGAAAAGCAUGAGCUCAACUCAUGUCUUGCCUUUGAAACUGGACAGCUAGAGAAAAGACGAGGUAUGUGGAAUGUGUGGUGUAGCGGUGAAAUGCAUAGAUAUCACACAGAACUCCGAUUGCGCAGGCAGCGUACC
Molecule: ribosomal RNA, 684 nt
Filed under: uncultured bacterium
Lineage: Bacteria
Description: bacterial SSU rRNA
Rfam family: Bacterial small subunit ribosomal RNA
Source: RNAcentral